GAUGAACGCUGGCGGCGUGCCUAAUACAUGCAAGUCGAGCGAACGGACGAGAAGCUUGCUUUUCUGAUGUUAACGGCGGACGGGUGAGUAACACGUGGAUAACCUACCUAUAAGACUGGGAUAACUUCGGGAAACCGGUGCUAAUACCGGAUAAUAUUUUGAACCGUAUGGUUCAAAAGUGAAAGACGGUCUUGCUGCCACUUAUAGAUGGAUCCGCGCUGCAUUAGCUAGUUGGUAAGGUAACGGCUUACCAAGGCAACGAUGCAUAGCCAACCUGAGAGGGUGAUCGGCCACACUGGAACUGAGACACGGUCCAGACUCCUACGGGAGGCAGCAGUAGGGAAUCUUGCGCAAUGGGCGAAAGCCUGACGGAGCAACGCCGCGUGAGUGAGGAAGGUCUUCGGAUCGUAAAACUCUGUUAUUAGGGAAGAACAUAUGUGUAAGUAACUGUGCACAUCUUGACGGUACCUAAUCAGAAAGCCACGGCUAACUACGUG
RNAcentral lists this ribosomal RNA (497 nucleotides) under uncultured bacterium. RNAcentral's name for it is "partial 16S ribosomal RNA". It matches the Rfam family "Bacterial small subunit ribosomal RNA", at positions 28 to 507 of the family's 1533-position model. The record is from RNAcentral.